This 111-nucleotide ribosomal RNA is filed under the name Mycobacterium tuberculosis. RNAcentral describes it as "partial 16S ribosomal RNA". It matches the Rfam family "Bacterial small subunit ribosomal RNA", at positions 59 to 169 of the family's 1533-position model. The record is from RNAcentral. Lineage: Bacteria; Bacillati; Actinomycetota; Actinomycetes; Mycobacteriales; Mycobacteriaceae.
UAAGUCGAACGGAAAGGUCUCUUCGGAGAUACUCGAGUGGCGAACGGGUGAGUAACACGUGGGUGAUCUGCCCUGCACUUCGGGAUAAGCCUGGGAAACUGGGUCUAAUAC